AUGGUCAUGACCUGUCGUCACGCCCCUUCCCCAGCCCACCUCGUCCUAUUGGUCCUGCUUUGUGUCACUCCACAGCUGGCUGGCGCCGCCCCUGUGCGGGCUGAGGGAGGCGAGGGAGGGGCGGCCGAGGGGCGCGCACGGACAGACCUCAGGGACGACAGCCUUGGCGGCGUGCUCUCGCUCCCACGCCUCCGCCUCUCGGAGGAGGGGGCGCCGGGGCGGGGGGAGCUCAGAGAUAACCCCCUGGACCCCGCGCUGCUGCUCAGCGCUCUGCUGGAGGUCCUGGACCGCCCUGGCGCCCGGGGGCUGCGGGAGAACGGGACGGGGGGAGACGGGGACGAUGGGGGGGCCCCGGUCGCAGAGCGAGGGGCUGAUAGGGAGGAGGAGGAGGAGGAGGAGGAGGAGAAGGAGGAGGAAGAGGAGCAGAGGGGAAGAGCGAGGCUCGGGGAGCGGAGGUAUGUGACGGCGUCCCAGGAGGAUGUGGUGCAGGGGGCGGGGGGAGAGGAGGAGGAGGGGGAGCCCGGGGGGGACGCUGGGUGGCUGCUGGGGGACGUGGGGCUGGCCCUCGUAGGGAGUAGAGACGGGGGGCCGAACCCAGAGGAGCAGGGGGAGGGUGAUCCGUCGCUGGGGGAGGCAGACGACGCCAAGCUGCGUCGCAGAACCAGGGGCUACUUUCAAAACAUUGACUUGGGUCUCCAAGACAACGAGAUCCUGCCCCCGCUGAAGGGCUACAAGGCCUACAACACCCAGCUGGCCCGCGCCGGCAAGAAGCAGCACUGGCCCGAGGAGCAGGCCCGCAACCGGCCCGCCCAGGGGGGCAACUUCAUGGACGACUUCGACGCCGAGGGCGAGGAGCUGGAGGAGGAGGUGGAGAGGGAGGAGGAGAGCCUCUCCCGCCUUGAGGAGGAGGCCAGGGCCCGCGCCGAGAAGCAGGAGGUACUGAGGCAGCAGCAGGAGGCGGAGCGCGCCCGCGAGGAGGAGCAGCGGCUGGCCGACAUCGCCUCGGACAUGCUGCUGCAGUACAUGGGCCGCAAGACGCCGCCCUACAUGAAGCCGCGGCAGAAGAGCAGCGCCGCCGCCGCCGCCAGCAACACGGCCGAGGACAAGCGGUCCGAGGAGGUGGCCACCGACGACGAUGACGACGACGACAUGGACCAGCAGAUGAUCGACCGGCUGAUCGAGAUCAGCAGCAAGCUGCACCUGCCCGCCGACGACGUGGUGGAGAUCAUCAGCGACGUGGAGGAGAAGAAGAAGAAGAGGAAAGAGCUGCAGCAGCGGCCCGCCGACCUCCGCCCCGUCACCCAGCGGUUCAGGCCCCUGGUGCCCCCGCCUCUGGCCGCCCCGCCCAUGUACCACUACACGGCCUCCAGCAACCCCAAGAAGGCCGGCUACAAGUACAGGUCCGGCAAGAAGUGGCAGAAGGACAAGGUCAAGGCGUACAAGCAGGACUUUUGGUACAAGCCUCAGAAGCAGCGUGACUUCUGGUACAAACCGCAGAAACAGUUUUUGGCCUUCCCCUCCUAUCCCUACUACCAGAAGCCAUAUCGCGCCUACUACCCUGUGUAUUUCCCUUACCCUAAGCAACACUAUUACGGCAAAGCGUCCCCUUCCAUGGACCAGCAGUUAGGACCCCAGGAACUCGAACUCCCGACCCCCAGGCGCCGGUUCCGGUCGGGGGGGAAAGGUCGCGGGCAGGGCUGGAGGCAGCAGCAGUCCCCGCCCCAGAGCCCCAUCACCCCUUAUAUCUCCAAUUACAUCCUCCCCCACCCACGGACAUACCAGCCCUUACCUCCCCCCAAACCAAUGACUCCCGCCAGGAGAGGAAGGCGCCCCCACUACUUCUACCCCCAGGUGACCCCCCACGCAGACGACUAUGAGGAGGACGGACUGGUUCCUCAGCUGGACAGCGAGGAGGAGCUGGAGAACUUUAUCGAGAGGAUCUACAUGAAGCGCCGAAUGUACUGA
Long non-coding RNA from Gadus morhua (Atlantic cod), 1965 nucleotides. Lineage: Eukaryota; Metazoa; Chordata; Actinopteri; Gadiformes; Gadidae. The record is from Ensembl.